Long non-coding RNA from Xenia sp. Carnegie-2017, 309 nucleotides. RefSeq lists it as uncharacterized. NCBI's taxonomy places the organism in Eukaryota, Metazoa, Cnidaria, Anthozoa, Malacalcyonacea, Xeniidae. The record is from RefSeq and is a predicted model, not a curated record. The transcript is spliced from 3 exons.
AUCAGACGAUUCCUCUAAUAAAACUUUGCAAGAAAUUAACGUGUAUUUGGAAUGACGUUACUCAAAAGGGGUCAUCAGCUUCAACAAGACACUCUUGUGUCACUUCGAACAACAUCAGAACCAUCAACAAAGAUGUGAAUCCAGACAUUCCGAGUAAUUCAGCUGAUCAUCAAGAAAAUCAUGAUGAGGGCUUGUCAGAAUCAGCUUCAACAGUGCACUCGCACAUCUAUUCAAGCCACAUAAGAACCAUCAACUUGGAUGUAAAUGAAGACAUUGUUCUUAGUACUUCAGCUGAUCAUCAAAAUGAUG